Long non-coding RNA from Mastomys coucha (southern multimammate mouse), 204 nucleotides. RefSeq lists it as uncharacterized. Lineage: Eukaryota; Metazoa; Chordata; Mammalia; Rodentia; Muridae. The record is from RefSeq and is a predicted model, not a curated record. The transcript is spliced from 2 exons.
CGGAGGUGGAGGCAGAGAGAGGCAGAGGCAGGAGGACCUCUAAAUUCAAGAUAAUGACAGGAUUUGAUAAGAGGACCAGUUCUCUUGGAAGGCCUUGGGGAAAGCAGCUCAAAAACCCAGGGCUCCAUCUAGACUGUCAGGCCGUGCAGGACAGCCCCAGGGCUCCAGAUUAAACUCUUUGGAAUAAAGAGCUCUGUUUUGAAA